UACGCUUCUUUUUCCACCGGAGCUUGCUCCACCGGAAAAAGAAGAGUGGCGAACGGGUGAGUAACACGUGGGUAACCUGCCCAUCAGAAGGGGAUAACACUUGGAAACAGGUGCUAAUACCGUAUAACAAUCGAAACCGCAUGGUUUUGAUUUGAAAGGUUUCCGCCUUUCAGUGGUGUCGCUGAUGGAUUAAGGACUCCGCCUGGGGUGCAUUACCGCUAGUUGGUGAGGUAACGGAAUCACCAAGGCCACGAUGCAUAGCCGACCUGAGAGGGUGAUCGGCCACAUUGGGACUGAGACACGGCCCAAACUCCUACGGGAGGCAGCAGUAGGGAAUCUUCGAGCAAUUUGGACGAUAGAGUCUCGACUUCGGGAGCAAAGCGCCGCGUGAGUGCAAGAAGGUCGUCAGUUCGGAUCGUAAAACUCUGUUGUUAGAGAAGAACAAGGAUGAGAGUAACUGUUCAUCCCUUGACGGUAUCUAACCAGAAAGCCACGGCUAACUACGUGCCAGCAGCCGCGGUAAUACGUAGGUGGCAAGCGUUGUCGUCGGAUCUUAUUGGGCGUAAAGCGAGCGCAGGCGGUUUCUUACGAGUUCUGAUGUGAAAGCCCCCGAGCUGGCAACCGGGGAGGGUCAGUUGGAAACUGGGAGUUUACUUGAGUGCAGAAGAGGAGAGUGCAAUUCGCAUGCAUGUAGCGGUGAAAUGCGUUAGAUAUAUGGAGGAACACCACGCCGUGGCGAAGGCGUUCGCGUCUCUGGUCUGUAACUGACGCUGACGGCUCGAAAGCGUGGGGAGCAAACAGGAUUAGAUACCCUGGUAGUCCACGCCGUAAACGAUGAGUGCUAAGUGUUGGAGGGUUUCCGCCCUUCAGUGCUGCAGCUAACG
Molecule: ribosomal RNA, 884 nt
Filed under: Enterococcus durans
Lineage: Bacteria; Bacillati; Bacillota; Bacilli; Lactobacillales; Enterococcaceae
Description: bacterial SSU rRNA
Rfam family: Bacterial small subunit ribosomal RNA
Source: RNAcentral